Molecule: ribosomal RNA, 468 nt
Filed under: uncultured bacterium
Lineage: Bacteria
Description: partial 16S ribosomal RNA
Rfam family: Bacterial small subunit ribosomal RNA
Source: RNAcentral
GACGAACGCUGGCGGCGUGCUUAACACAUGCAAGUCGAACGGAAAGGCCCUGCUUUUGUGGGGUGCUCGAGUGUCGAACGGGUGAGUAACACGUGAGUAACCUGCCCUUGACUUUGGGAUAACUUCAGGAAACUGGGGCUAAUACCGGAUAGGAGCUCCUGCUGCAUGGUGGGGGUUGGAAAGUUUCGGCGGUUGGGGAUGGACUCGCGGCUUAUCAGCUUGUUGGUGGGGUAGUGGCUUACCAAGGCUUUGACGGGUAGCCGGCCUGAGAGGGUGACCGGCCACAUUGGGACUGAGAUACGGCCAAGGCUCGUACGGGAGGCAGCAGUGGGGAAUAUUGCACAAGGGGCGGAAGCCUGAUGCAGCAACGCAGCGUGAGGGAUGACGGCCUUAGGGUUGUAAACCGCUUUCGCCUGUGACGAAGCGUGAGUGACGGUAAUGGGUAAAGAAGCACCGGCUAAAUACGUG